AUUGAACGCUGGCGGCAGGCCUAACACAUGCAAGUCGGGCGGAUGAAGGGAGCUUGCUCCUGGAUUCAGCGGCGGACGGGUGAGUAAUGCCUAGGAAUCUGCCUGGUAGUGGGGGGUAACGUCCGGAAACGGGCGCUAAUACCGCAUACGUCCUGAGGGAGAAAGUGGGGGAUCUUCGGACCUCACGCUAUCAGAUGAGCCUAGGUCGGAUUAGCUAGUUGGUGGGGUAAAGGCCUACCAAGGCGACGAUCCGUAACUGGUCUGAGAGGAUGAUCAGUCACACUGGAACUGAGACACGGUCCAGACUCCUACGGGAGGCAGCAGUGGGGAAUAUUGGACAAUGGGCGAAAGCCUGAUCCAGCCAUGCCGCGUGUGUGAAGAAGGUCUUCGGAUUGUAAAGCACUUUAAGUUGGGAGGAAGGGCAGUAAGUUAAUACCUUGCUGUUUUGACGUUACCAACAGAAUAAGCACCGGCUAACUUCGUG
RNAcentral lists this ribosomal RNA (484 nucleotides) under uncultured bacterium. RNAcentral describes it as "partial 16S ribosomal RNA". It matches the Rfam family "Bacterial small subunit ribosomal RNA", at positions 30 to 507 of the family's 1533-position model. The record is from RNAcentral.